This 254-nucleotide ribosomal RNA is filed under the name uncultured bacterium. RNAcentral's name for it is "partial small subunit ribosomal RNA". It matches the Rfam family "Bacterial small subunit ribosomal RNA", at positions 26 to 285 of the family's 1533-position model. The record is from RNAcentral.
AGGACGAACGCUGGCGGCGUGCUUAACACAUGCAAGUCGAGCGGAAAGGCCCUUCGGGGUACUCGAGCGGCGAACGGGUGAGUAACACGUGAGCAACCUGCCCUUAGCUUCGGGAUAGCUCCGGGAAACCGGAAUUAAUACCGAAUAUGAUUUUUGCUGACAUCAGCAGAAGUGGAAAGUUUUUCGGCUAGGGAUGAGCUCGCGGCCUAUCAGCUUGUUGGUGGGGUAAUGGCCUACCAAGGCGACGACGGGUA